CUCAACCUCUUUCUCCUUUCAAUCUUGGCACCACACUUCAACCUCUCCUUUCUCUUAAUUUCAAUUCCUUUCAUUUUCUGGUAGAGACAAAGGAGACACGUUUUAUCCCUGGACCCAAAACUCCAGCGCCGGUCACGGACUGGGGAAGGCAGCCUUCCCUUGGUGUUUAAUCAUUACAGGGACACCUCUCUGAUUAUUCACCCAGGUUUCAGUGGUGUCAGACCACGCAGGGACGCCUGCCUUGGUUCUUCACCAUUAGCAUCAAGUCCUGCUUUUCUGGGGAAGAGGACCCCAUUGGAAAUCGGACUGUCCAACUCACCUGGCAGCCACUCCCAGAGCCCCUGGAACUCUGGCCCAAGGCUCUCUGACUCCUUCCCAGAUCUUCUUGGCUUAGCGGCUGAAGACUGACGCUGCCCGAUCACCUCGGAAGCCCCCUAGACCAUCACGGACGCUGAGCUUUGGGUAACUCUCACAGUGGAAGGUAAGUCCGUCCCCUUCUUAGUCAAUACGGAGGCUACUCACUCCACA
RNAcentral lists this long non-coding RNA (528 nucleotides) under Homo sapiens (human). Its description in RNAcentral is "HSALNT0047946". Lineage: Eukaryota; Metazoa; Chordata; Mammalia; Primates; Hominidae. The record is from RNAcentral.